AGGCCCCUGAGGCCUGUGGGAAAGGAAACGCAGCCCAGGAUCCUGGGGUAUGCAGGAGAGGAAGAGGAGUCGUCAGCAGGAAGGGGAGGAGGCCUGGGAAGGAGAGCUCACAGCGGGCAGAAGGGAAGGAAGCAUCCACAGACUCCCCAAAGGUUCGAGGAGGAGAAGCAAGGUUUAGGGGGAGACUGGGUUGUCCGCAGAGAGAGACACAAAGCGGGGAAAGGUCACUGGGAGUGGGACACGAAAGAGAAGAGGCGGAGGAAGCCCACGCCACCCGGCCAAAGGGAGAGGAGGCGGGUCCACGCCCCAAGGGCAGGGAGGCGCCCGCCUCCUGCAGGCGAGAGGGCACGGGAAGUACCCGCACCGCACCGAGAGGAGAGCAGGUGGAGAGGACCUGUGGCCAGCAAAGAAAGGCUGUGCCCUCAGCCAUGGAACGGGCGCACUGCCCUCGGCCCCGCCCAGGCAACCGACACCGGCUUGCUGAUAGCCAGCAGAAGCUGCCUACGCUCACAUCCCCCCUCCCGCACUGUCAAGCCGCAGCACAAGCCGCACCAUAAAAGGCAAGGAACUAGUCCCUACCAAUCACUCCCAGCCCCGUUCCCCUUUCCCGCCGGUGCCGCCCCUUCACCAACCUAGAAUCUGCCUCUUCCCUCCACCAACUGCUCGCCACCACCAAUCCAAUCCCCCUUUGGCCACAGCCAAUCAGUCCCCUGCUCACUCCCCCAUAACCCUAUAUAAACACAUGUACUUCCCUUAAUAAAUUAGACCUGCGUGCUCACCUCGUCUCCGUGGUGGUUUUUCCGCCGCGCGCCCUCCACGCCUGCGAGCCCCCGCAGGAGCCUAGGCCUCUCC
RNAcentral lists this long non-coding RNA (852 nucleotides) under Dasypus novemcinctus (nine-banded armadillo). RNAcentral's name for it is "lncRNA (ENSDNOG00000052559.1)". The record is from RNAcentral. Lineage: Eukaryota; Metazoa; Chordata; Mammalia; Cingulata; Dasypodidae.